Molecule: long non-coding RNA, 225 nt
Filed under: Lathyrus oleraceus (garden pea)
Lineage: Eukaryota; Viridiplantae; Streptophyta; Magnoliopsida; Fabales; Fabaceae
Description: Pisum sativum (pea) long non-coding RNA (PSAT_LNC011925)
Source: RNAcentral
UUUUUUAGCGCAAUGCUCCAUAAUUAUCGAAAUGCUACGCAAUUUAUUAUUCAAUAUGCUAUGCUUAUCUACAUGAUGAAUGCAUAAAAGGUAUCCCCCUCAAGGGACUCUUCUGGGGAGCUCGAGGCGCUCUGCUGAGGAACUCGCCAACACUCCAACCUUCCACCCUGUUGGGGAACAGCGCCGCUGCUGGGAAAUAGGCCACCCUUACCAGGAAUAACCUCC